AGGGAAAACCGCAAGCAGCAGCUCCGCUGUCACGCUGUGCCGUGAAACCAGGCACAUUCCCAGGUUAGUGCUCAAAGCACUGCAGCGGUAUGGUUACCCCACAGCCAACCCCGGCCGCGGCCCGUGCGCGGGCUGCUCCGCCCUGCCUGCUGCACGGUCCCACCGCCGCGGCGGUGCCCACGGGCAGCCCGGGCAGGUCUCCCGCCAGGCUGCCAACGCCGUUUCCCCGCCUCCGCCACUGCGUUGUGGGAACCGCCGGCCCCGAGCCCGCCUCAGCCGCGCUCGUCCCGCUCUCAUGCGCCUGAGGCCCCUUCUCAGAGAGACCGCGGCCCGGCCCUGAGGUGGCCGCUCGAGCCCCGCGACCACUAACAGCCAGCUCGCACCGCGGCCCAGGCCCGCUCACCCCGGCAACAAGCCUCCGCCGUGGCGCCUCCGCUCGCUCCGGUUCAGCCUCCAUCCGCCGCCGCCGCCGCCGGUGCUUCCGGCAGACAGCCCGCCCCAACAACCACCACCCUCAGCUGCCCGGCCGCCGGCCCACACCACCCCGCGGGUUCGGCCUGCGCCGGGCCUGUCCCUUUCAACACUGCGCCAGCCCCGGGUCCUGUCCACACGGAACCCGGCCUGUGCCCGGGGGCGCCUCUCCCGGCCCCUCGGGGCAGCCUGGGGCCUGGCCCAGGAGCCGGAGGCAGCGGGCAGGCUGCGCACCUCCUAAAGACUGGCUCAUCACCGGCUGGGUGUUCUGCCAUCAGCCGGCGGUGUAUUGCCACGCUUGGUGCUCCUGGUAACCAUAUACGUAUCCAGCCUUGUUAGCAGUCUUGAAACCUUGGCCUAACAGUGACAGCGGAACUACAGUUUCUCAGCACAAUGCAUAAUCUUUAACACUGCUUUCCAGACGGAGCAGCUGGUCCCCAGAGCACUCAAUGGAGGGAUGAAAUAUAAGCUCAGCGAUCAUUACACGUAUGCCUUUCUAGCUAAAUUGUGCAGAGAUUUCCACUGAGCUGCAUAAAACAACCCCUGGUCCCUUUCUUGGCUGGACAGAUGCAUAAAUUGUAAGUAGAUCUGGGUUUAGCUCCACAUGUUAAAUAAACAUUUCUUCAGUACUUUG
Melopsittacus undulatus (budgerigar) is the source of this 1105-nucleotide long non-coding RNA. RefSeq lists it as uncharacterized. The record is from RefSeq and is a predicted model, not a curated record. The transcript is spliced from 2 exons. Lineage: Eukaryota; Metazoa; Chordata; Aves; Psittaciformes; Psittaculidae.